GAAAGGAUAUGAAUCAACUUUAUUUUGACUAUAAAUUAAAAGAUGGAGAAUUCAGGUAGCAGGUAGUUUGCCUGAGGUUACAGAGCAGUGAUUGGAACCCUGAUUGAUCUAAAGUGAUUUUCUUCCAUACCUCCCAUUCCUAGCAAUUCAGAAUUCACUUUUAAAAAUUAGCCUUUUUUUUUUUUUUGCAAAUUGCUCUCCCACUGAUGACUGACUGUAGUUUUGUUUAUUAUUCUAUAGUGACUACAUGCAUAUGAAAUCAAAGACUUCUUAACCUUAAGAAAGAGCUUAGUGAUCUCUUGUUAAUAGGAAUUGAGGACUUUUAUCUCAAAAAGAGCCUUGUCUUCAUUGAAAAAAUAUGAGAAGAGUAAAUAUUAAGCUUCAACAAACUGUGCACUAUUUAUACCAAGAAGAAAUAAGCAGUGUGACCUAUUAAGGAAGACAUGUCAAGAGUAUUAAGACCUCACUGAUGAACACUGGCUGAAAAUAUGACAUGGCUCAAGGAAUCUGAAACCAACUACGUGUCUGAAAUUAGUUCAAAUUGUUCAUUGCUGAGAUGUAAGAGCCUAAUAUAAUACAGUGGUCCAAUAGAAAGGUUAUAUUGGAGAUCACUUAUAAAGCCCUUCAAAUUGCUGACGUUUUUAUAAGAAAUAAUAGAAUGUAGGUGUUGAAAAUAGAUAUUAAAAAUAAAUCCAACUGUUUACUUAAUUUCAAUGGAGAACAAUAAAAAUCCGUACUUCCUCACUAUAUUAUAGAUUCUUUCAAAUUGACUGCUCUUUGUAAACUGACAAAACUAAAUUUAAAAACCGUACAAAAGCAUUUAAAAUUUUUUCAAAUGAAAGCCCAUUUUUCCCUGCUCUUUCCAAAUUUCAAUGCCAUU
Perognathus longimembris pacificus (Pacific pocket mouse) is the source of this 880-nucleotide long non-coding RNA. RefSeq lists it as uncharacterized. The transcript has 3 exons. Lineage: Eukaryota; Metazoa; Chordata; Mammalia; Rodentia; Heteromyidae. The record is from RefSeq and is a predicted model, not a curated record.